RNAcentral lists this ribosomal RNA (419 nucleotides) under Fusobacteriota bacterium. RNAcentral describes it as "Fusobacteria bacterium partial 16S ribosomal RNA". It matches the Rfam family "Bacterial small subunit ribosomal RNA", at positions 356 to 776 of the family's 1533-position model. The record is from RNAcentral. Lineage: Bacteria; Fusobacteriati; Fusobacteriota.
UGGGGAUAUUGCACAAUGGGCGAAAGCCUGAUGCAGCGACGCCGCGUGGGGGAUGAAGGCCUUCGGGUUGUAAACUUCUUUUGCUCUGAACAAGGCAUGCCUUUGGGGUGGGUUGAGUGGAGGGGGUGAUUAGCGCCGGCUAACUACGUGCCAGCAGCCGCGGUAAUACGUAGGGGGCGAGCGUUGUCCGGAAUUAUUGGGCGGAAAGGGCUUGUAGGUGGGUGGUUGCGUCUGUCGUGAAAGCUCAUGGCUUAACUGUGGGUUUGCGGUGGGUACGGGCUGGCUUGAGUGCAGUAGGGGGGGCUGGAAUUCCUGGUGUAGCGGUGGAAUGCGCAGAUAUCAGGAGGAAUACCGGUGGCGAAGGCGGGUCUCUGGGCUGUUACUGACGCUGAGGAGCGAAAGCGUGGGGAGCGAACAGG